CUUUCCAUCACAUUACAGCACAUACACAGGCCAGUGUAGCUGGUAACAGAAAGGCAAGCAUCUCCACGUCCUUGUGAGAUACUGCCUGUGGAUCUGACUAUGCAGUAAUACUAUUAAGUGCCAGAAACUUGUGAUGGGACUCAGCAAAAUGAAUCCUCCUGAGGAGGCGGAGAACCUCUCAACCUAGCAAUUCUCUACAUCCAGGACAGUUCCUAGGUACAUCCUAGGGAAAGGCAUUUUAUCUGACCAGCCGUAUAGCAUACAUACACAAGCUGUAGCCAGCAUGUGUGUGAGCUCCUGGCUUGGUGCAUGAGUCUGAGCGUUUUGAACCCUGGUGCACACUGGGAGUUAGCAGGCUUUCAAAGCACUUCCCAUGAGCCCAGAUAUUGAUCAGCUCUGUUGCUAUUUGCAUUACACGUGCUAUUGUCCAGCAAAAAGCAUGGUUUCUGUUCUGAUUUCAUAUGCUUCCAUUAACCUCUAAUCAAGAGAAGCAAAUAAUUUCUCCUGUAUCAUCUCUAUUUUAUACUGCGGAAACCAGCUAUUUACAUAGCUGCCUUGUGUGUAACUCCACAGACCAGGAGGCUCUUCUUACGAAGACCUUAUGGUCCAACUGCAUGUGGGAUUUGAGUGGCUAACUAGAAUCCUCUGCACAUUAUCUGUUGCUUCUUUGUACGCUCCGCUUCCCUUCUUUACGUCUGAAUUUGGACUGGGGAUAAUGAACUUCCUGUAUCAUGCACUGCGACACAAGGAAACCCAUUGUAUGUGAACCAAGGAAGAGUAUAUCAGUGAGUGGUUUGUAAGGCAGCUCUGGCAGGUCUUGUUAGAAUGACUUAUUCUCAGAGUUUCAGUGGCUUGAUUUAGUGGAUCAUGUGAUAAGCACUUAUAAUGAACUUCUUCACAUGCUGCCAGGGGAAGCCCAGCAGAUAAAGUGCUUAAUCACACGGCAUUGCUCUGUGCAUAACAAACUGAUUACAAAGAUGGAAAAGUCAUGCAAUUCACUGGCUUCUCCUACUCAGGACAGCACAACAGUGUUACACAACUUUCUUUCUGCUGCCCGAAAUCAAAAUAUUCUUGCUACUAAAUCCAGUUCAAACUAGCAUGUUUCUCUUCCUGCAGCUCACCAAGUGCUCCACCCAGCAGGUUACAGCUGAAUGUAACCACCUGCAGCAAGCCUAUAGGCAUGCUUAUGAGUGAUUUCUUUCUUAUUAGAGAAAACAGUGCCCCCAGAAACAACAACAAUCAAGAACGGAGCAUAAACUCCUGAGUAACCCCAGCUAGUUUGCUUUAAAAAUAACAAUCUAGGUCAGCCUGAAUCACCACAAGGGUAAUCCUCAUUUCACUACCAACAGCAGCAGAGGUCAAGAAGCCAGCCUCGCUCAGGGGCAUCUGUUGCAGUUUCGGCCAAAACUUGCGGGACCGAUGACCAGGGUAAGACAAUACUGGAUGUGUUCUCUCUUCCCCCCCAGCUGGUGGCUCACACACUGCAGCGCCUUUGCAGAAAGCAUCCUGGCUCAGUGAUAUAGUGUGGGAUGUGCUUGUUCCAGCCCUGUCUGUUGGAACAAAUUGUGGUGCUACUUCUCCAAGGCCAGUGUUAUAUCCCUGACUCAGCUGCAGCAAGGGUAUGACAGAGGGAGUGCCUUUAGGAAAGUCAUCUUCAGGUUCUGGGACUGAGAUGAGUGACAGACCCCAAAGAGCUCUGCUCCCUGACCAGCGAUACCUGCACGCUCCCAUUGCCAAGGGCAACAACUAUGUGCACCAGGACCUGUCUGUUGCUCUGGUACACCUGAUGAUAAUGCCUGUGAAAACUGCUACCCAGAAAAGGGCUAGGAGCUCUACCUGCACUCUCAGGUUUCAGGAUAGAGGGGGUGAUCAUUUCAGCAGCGUAUGGUACUGAAGGAGCAUAGGGAGAUAGAUGAGUGGUGGGCUUUCAGUGAGGUAACCAUUUUUACUUGGGAUCCUUAAAUCAGGAAAACAGUGAUGAGAGUAUGGAUGAUGCCUUUCCCUUUAGCUACUUACUGACACCACAGCUGGGACCUUACCAAGUGGUUGCUGAUGUGGCAGCAGCUGCAAAGCUUCCUUCAGGAAUGCCUGUCCUCAGGCUACCUCACUCCUGGUAAUCCCACUGAGUAAUUAGUUCUUUAGGGUCACAGGGUGAAUCACCUCAAAGGGAAUCAUGUUGGGAGUCCAAGUGUCAGGAGAAACGAUAGGCAGAAGCAGCAUGUCGAGUCACCUUACCAGCAGGAUGUGUCUGUCCUGCACAUCAGUAAAAGGGCUGACAUUUGUCUGAUGCAAGGUGGAAUCAACCUGCUGGUGGUGACUGUUACCUCAUUUAGAACCCUUACAUUUCCCUCUUGCUCUUCAGUUGUACUGAGAAUGAAGGAGAGCUUAGCCUUACACAGAAGUACAAUCGCUUGUGCAUCGUAACUAGAAAGCCUGUAUGGCCACAAAGCUGUUUCUGCACAGCACUCAGAACGAUCUUGGUUGUGCCUGUGCUCCCUACUCUGCUUAUUCUCACACCAGCAGCCCCACGUCGCCCAUCCGCUGUGCUGAGCAUCUUGCUGAAUGCCAAUUCACAGACAGACAUGCAGACAGCCCCACAAGUGAGAUUCUGUGCUUGUAGCUUGCAGGCCCCAAAAGCAAGUCUGAGAGCAUCCCUGACACAUAUCGAUGUAUUAACAAUCUAGGUGGGAAGGCAGAGCCAUCACACCUAGUGCAGUGGUUAUGAAGAGACCCGGGGGUGGAACAUCUGCCAGGUGAAGAACACAAACAUGAAUAUCAAACUGACUUCUUAAAUGAAUCAGAACAUCAGACGGGUAGGGGUGAUGCCUUGCUCUCUGGCCUGAGCUACCAUGACACUUAUCUGUAUGAUAAGGAAUGGUCCAGGCCUGCAGCAUCUCACAGCAAACCUAGGGGAUGGUAAGAAGUGUUUGUUCAGGAAGUCAAUAUGUAAAUACAACUGCAGUUUAAAAUGUACAUCAAACUUUGUAUAUCAGCUUUCCUAUACAGUGUUACUAGCCAUUAAGUUUUGGUCAUGUUAUUUCUCAAUUAAUGAGAUUGCACAGGUGUAAUCAAAGGGAUAAUAUGAUACCAAUCAGAUUUCAUCAGCAAAAUGCUGCUUCCAGCUGUGAUAACAUGGGAGAAAGAAAGAAGGCCUUUUCUUGAUUUAUUUUCCAGCUAAUAGGAAUUCACAUACCUAAUGGUGAGAAAAAUGUUUAAAAAUACACUUUCUAUACAAUCAGUAAGAACCAAGAACUGCGAAAUUAUGAUACUGCUAUUAGAUUCAGUCAUCAGAGAAUAACUUAAUUGUAAUUCUGUAAACUCAGUUAAAAUUUGCUCUUCAAACUGUUUCCACAUGACAAGGAAAUCUCCUGGAAAUGUUGGCUCAUUGUCCUUAAUCGCGUUUUGGUAUUUUGAACAGAACAUACGCCCCCAUAGCAUUUAAUUCUACUCACAAGUUCGGUAUUUCAGAUUAUGUAUGGAUGUUGGACAUGAAAGGAUUUUACUCCACACUUAAAACAGUUCAUGUUAAAGUCAUUUACUCUUAAUUCUAUUAAGCAACUAGUGAUUUUAAAAGCCAGUAUUUAUAUAUUCUUAUAUUAAAUCACUGUCUCCCGAGCUCUGUGUGCCUGGUUUAAAAAAUGGAAUCCACCAAAUUCCUCAAGAACUAACAGAUUUUUGUAAAUGUGAGGCUUACUGAGGCUAGGUAUUCCAAACAGAGAACCAGGCUACAGUAUUUCAUUUCUCACUCCUCUAGCACUACAUAACUCUGCUACAAAGGUGCAUUGUGAGAGUUCAGCUUUUAAAUUUUUAGCAGCUGAAGAGCAUCAGUGAGCAUUAAGUAAAAUUUCUUUUAGACUUAGUAAUCUUUACCACGUCUUUUCCCUCCAUGUGACAAAACAGAUAAAGGUGCUUGUGGUUUAAAACAUGGACACUAAGCUACCCAUGAUGUAGGUGAAAUUGUGAAUUAGAAUCUCUGGAGUAUUAUUGUGCUUUUUUUUUUUUACUACUCUCCUCCUUGUAUGUAUUAAAUAGUGUCUACAGAUUUCCUGUGUAGGCCUGUCCCCAGGGACUGAAAACCUGGUGUAGACAACUCAUAAAUAAAGCGAGUGAGACAUGAGCAAGAAAAAGCAUACCAUACUUCUGGGAAUCACUCCAGGAAAAUAAAUGUGCAAGAUGGCACAUCACCCUACACAAAGCUGGCAAAGGUAAAAUAACAUUUGGGUUUGAUCAUUACAGAAAAUAAAAUAAUUCUGUGUUCACAUGUACGUGCUGGUCUUUCACUGAAAUGAAAGGGCAAGGGUAAGACUGGAGUUCUGACUUACAGGAAAACAAUCCUGCCGGUAACCGUUGCAGCUUAUCGAACUAAAGUGGAGGAUGAAGCCUGGAUUCGAUCCCUAGCUUUCAGAAGGCCUGGGUAUUCUCUAGAAUUGGCCACCAUCAUUUAUUUCCCAUCUCUGUUGUUCACUACUUCUACAUCAUAUGCUUUCUUUUUAAGGGACCAUCUAAAUUCUAGGUAUACCUUUCCCUCACUGAUGACAAUGCAUGAUUUUUUUUAUAGAAGUGGCAUAAAAACACUGUAAAGAACAGAAGAGAAACAGUCAGCUUGGUUUCUUAUAAUGGGUUUGGAUGAGCAUACCCUCCCAUUUCCAUCUGUGCUUUAUUCUCUUUUGCUCAAGAGUAGGAUAUUACAUUUAUUGGCACUGACGUUCCUCAGAGCUUAUUCUUUUUUUCUCCCCUUCUGCUCUCAUUUUCCCACUUUUUUUUUUUUACUAUUUUUCAGUCUCCUGCAUCCUCAUUUUCCUACCAUCCUAUGCACUAUCUAGUCCCCAGUUUACUGUAUUUAUGAGACACUCUGCAGGUUCAAGCAACUGUGUAUAAGGUAUGACAACAGAACAACUACAAGGAAAUUAUUAGUAUUUAAGGGAUGAAUUGGCAUAGAAGACAUCCUGCAACUAUGCAGACUGCAGACAGAUGCUUACCUAUCUUCUGCUUGGCUGUAAUCCGGAAAUGUACAGAAUUCUUCGACAGCAAAAGUACUCUCAUCAAUUUUUAUUUCUAUGAUGUCCUUAUUUUUGCUUUUAGGGAUGGGGGUUUACCUUCAUCUUAAAACUGUUUGCCUGGCAAUGCGUGGAAAAUUUUGCUUGGGUUCUUAAGUAUCUACCUUGUUGUGCAGGUACAGCUUUAAAACGAGCUAUUUAUCUUUAUGAUCGAACAUCCUCACACUAUCAGAUAUUGAGCCUUUCACUGCACAGUGAACCUGCAGAAAAACCUUUUAUGUCUCAGAAUGAAUGAGAGGUUACUAAUGAUAUAGCCACAGGAGUUCUAGGACAGGUGUAUACAACUAUCUGCCAGAGUCGAACAUUUGCUUAUGUGACUUUGAGGCCUGAUAUACCCAUCAAGCACAUAUAAGAUUUCUGGCUCCUUGAAAUUUUUGCUCCUCUCACAAGUGAUAGCCUCCAGGUCAUCCUAUCUGACAAAAGUAAACAAGAGCAUAAGACACUUGUCAAGGAUAUGGACUCCUGGAAGCUGAGUCCAGUCUGAGGAGGAAGAACUGGUGUAUCUAUCUUGGCUAGACCUUUCAAGAGCCACAGUUCAGUGACGUGGAAGAAGCCACUGAGUAUAGACUUCUGCAAGCUCAACUUCUUUCAGCCUUUCAGGAUUGGUGACUGCUCUAAAGCCAGAAGAUAGUUUACAAUAUUACGUGGCAAUUCCUUAAAUGUAUUCAAGACAUUCUGUAGCUCUGGGAAGAAAAUCUUAUUUCCUUUGCCAAUUAAAUAUGCCUUUUUACCACUGAUGAAGACUGAGUGAAAAGCAAGACGUCCUAUUCUUAACAGCCAUCCAGCAUGCAGGCUAAGAGCGGGAACAACCUUAAGUCCAGGUAUCAAACCAUUCCUUUGUUCUCUGGCUCCAAAUGCAGAGAAGUCUUUAAGCUCCACAAAUAUCCUAUUCAGGAAACCAGAAAUCUUUUGGCAAGUGGAGAUCAAAAAGAUAAUUAUGCUGAGUUCCACUUGAUUUUGCCAGGUAAUUUGGUAAUUAGAAGGACUGGCAGGUUAGUAUAAAAGGAAACAGCAAUUCCUGAAAUGCAGAAAUCAUCUUCUUGUUGACCUGUGCUGUGAAGAUGUCCAUUCAGGACAAUUCUAUUUUGAGAAGAUGCCUUCAAAUGUUUUUGAUUUCCUGUCCGUGCUUUGAAUAGGUGUGUCUAUGGAAACCUUUUACCAAGCGACUCUGCAGACUAAAUACACAAGAAAAGAUUUUAUGCAAGUGCUAUAAUUUAACUACUUCCUGGCACAGACAGUAAUGUCACACUCUCACAGUACCAACACGAAGCCAUGUAAGAAGACGGCUAACAAUCAUGAUGGCUUUUCUGUUAUAGGUAUUUGACCACUGAGCAGUUUAAGGCUCUGACCUAGCUGUAAAGAGGCCAUCCAAAAACAGAUGGUGAUAACUUUCAGUUGUGACUUGUAUGGUGUCAAGUUCUAACCCGUAUCCUGUGAAUUACUCAUUUCCUACAGGAAAUUCAUCUUUGCUACUAUCGUUUAACAGAAUCGCAACCAUCUAUUCUGCUUUGAAGUAUUUGUCUGCUUUCUAGUGUUUCAGUCUAGCAAGCCUAUUUCCCCUGAAUGAAUUGGCAGUAUUUUUAGAGUAAAAUGAAGGGUAAGGGUUCUGUGGUUUGAGAAAGUCAAAUAUAAGUUCAAUGCCUGAUGCAAGAGCAAAUCUCCUUGUGACAAUGCGCAAACUGUUAAGUUUCUCUAGCUGUCUCCAUCAAGGGAAAAAAAAGGAGCGAUGAAUUCCUUAGUACUUGUGAAAUUUUCAGCUAAUCUUCCCACUUGACUUGCAAGAGACUCAGUGAUGUGCUGUGUUUGUUUUUUUAAUCUUCAGCAUUUGGAAGCUCCAUCUCCCUUAGUAAAUAAGAGCACUACAACUACUGUCUACACUGUGAUGGAACAAAAAGUCCUUCAGCCCAGAUAAAAUAGAGCUCUUCAAAUGCUUUCCCAUGCGUCAAAUAACCCAAAUACUUCAACGUUUCCUGAACUGCACUCCCAGUAACGGACAGGAUAAGGCAAGACAGGAGAGGAUACAGGAGUGGGCUGGAACGACCUACAGUGUUCUGUACUUUGUUCUUGAAACAAGCAGAGUAACCUCCCUCAAAGCAGCUACUGUGAAAUCUGCAGUCCGUGACAAGGUUCCAGGGCCUGGCAAGACACCUGAGUCAGCAGAGCAUGCCCACCUGGAGUCUAUAAUAUCAGCAGGCACAUCAGCUUAAUGCUCAAAAGAGUAGUAUGAAUGCAUUUCUCCAGCUAUGAGAAAGUGCCAUUUUCCCCUAUGUUCUCCAAACAGUUACAUAAAACCAGCCUGUAUUUCCCUCUUACUGUGGGGUGAAUAUAAUUCUCUCUCUGAAAAAAAUCUGCAUCUGAAAUAAGAUAUUAAUUUGCAGGAAUGAUUAAUAGUUCUGCUGACUGCUAAAAAUCCAGUUAGAGCAGUUAGGGUAUGAUGGCUUUACAGGAGCGGGAUAAAGUUUAUUUGAUUUUCUGUAACUGAGUGUCCUCAGCUGAACCUACCAACCCUUUGCUGUGCAAGGAUUGUAACUCCCGCUGCAGUUGGAUCAGCCUCCAUUUCUAUUUUUAGUGCAGAUCUUGCUCCUUAUUUAGUCCUGAUUGCACAGCCAGAACUGCAUUCUCAGCAGCUCAGUGAAAAGCCUGCCUGUUCCAUUUUAUAACUUUUCCAGACAAAAAGAUGGGAAGCCUGUAGCUUUCCAAACACUCUUAUUUUUAAGAGCUUGCAAUACGAUACAGCCCCAAACCCAAGGGCUGAAUGAAUCCCUGCUGAAAUAUUGUUGAAUUUUCUGGAGUUUUACUCAGCAUUAAUUUCCCCCUCCCCCCCCAGAAAAAAAAACAACCAACAACAAAAAUCAAAAAAUCAAAAACCCUUCUUCACUGUAAAUACUUAAAAAGAUAUUUAUCAAAACAGUAAUAAUAUACAUCUGGAUCAAACCCUCUAGACAACAUGCUAUCUUCUUUAGAUUCAUAGUUUAUAAAUCCAAGUCAUGGAGGCAACUACUAGCCAAGAAAGAAAGAAACAAGGAAAAAUGGAAAAAGUUGAGUUUGAAGAUUCUCUAAGCAGGGGCGACCACACAGAAGCAAUUUUCUGGCACUCGAUUAAAACCACUCAAUUAACAUUUCUGAGCAAAGUUUUCCCACUAUAGCAAGAACAGAUAGAGUUGCUGUAGUUCUGUUUGCAUUAGCUACAGUGCUUCACCUUUGCUUACAGGCUUUGCUUCUGCAGUAUCUUCUUAGUGAUGUAUACUUAGGAAGAUAUAUUUCAGUGUGUUGUACACAGUAAAAAAACAAUAUUAAGACGAUUAAGGCCACUGUUAGGCUGUAAACACACAACCUACACUGCUAAUACAAGUAAAAUACAUCCUUAUCUACGUGUACUGAAAUAUGUUGCCAGUAGUGUGAUGACACUUUGCAUCUUACUAUACGUCUAAAUCAAGCACACCUGCAAAUAGCAUUUUAUUCUUAACCCAAGGUAAAAAAUCAUAUCCUCAUAUGCACAGAUCUCUUCUUAGAUGAAAUCCUAAACCCUUCCUCCAUGCAAGAAAUUUCUAAGAAAUUGUUAUGCUAGUCAGGCAGUAAUCACUGAAUUCAGCCAUCUUUAUCGGACACAUAAUGACAUCCAACACCACUCUUGCAAUGGGGGAGACUGACUGCAGAUGGAAAUUACCCUCAGCUUCCCCAGCAUUCAGGCUGUUGACUAGUUCUUUUAUGCCACACUGAGAACACAAAGGCAGAUUUAAAAGAAAAUUAACUGGAAGAGUAAAGGAAUUAAAAUCAGUGAAGGAACUGAUAGACUAACAUAUUCUUAUUGUAAAUUCAGGAAUUUAAUUAGCCCCCAGUCAAACACUGGACAAAUCACAAAGCCGAUACAAAAUGGAAAGGCCAUUAAAAGUAGAUACUCAGCAGAUCUGAAUUUACAUAUUUUGUGUGCCUCAAAUACCCAAUUCAUUCUGUGAAAAUGGAGGGUGUUCCAAACAUAUGAAGUCAGGUUCAUUAUCUCGAUUUAAAUAAAAGAAAGCUCGAAAGAGAGAAGUUGAAUGCCACAAGAAGUAAGUACUCAAGAUCACUAUCUCAAAGGCCUGAGGUUAGAAACUGAAAGGACUGGAAGUUAUCAACCGAAAAUAAAAAACCCAAGUACUUCAAAGCCUGUUUAUCCUGGCUGGUAUCAGGAAUAUUGUACCCUUGUAUCCUAAAUAGAGACUAUGGCAAUUUGGCUAAUGAGGAUAUGCACUGUCUUGGCUGUGGUUUUCAGCACCACAUACAAAGCUGAAACUCUACCACAUUUAGGAAAAAAAAAAGGGGGGGGAUAAAUAUAGUGGCACUGCUAGAUGUCAGUGCUAAAACCAGGCCAAUGGAGUCCCAAUUAUAGUGCAAAAUGUAUCAAUUUACCUGCAAUUAUAUUCUGGACAUAAUCCUUAAUAAUAAAAGUGGCUGCUGAAUCCAUUUGGAAGAAAAACUUGUCUAAGGGUACAUCAUUUUGUUUG
Numida meleagris (helmeted guineafowl) is the source of this 9541-nucleotide long non-coding RNA. RefSeq lists it as uncharacterized. The record is from RefSeq and is a predicted model, not a curated record. NCBI's taxonomy places the organism in Eukaryota, Metazoa, Chordata, Aves, Galliformes, Numididae. The transcript is spliced from 3 exons.